GGUGUUGUGGCUUAGUGGUAGAGCGCUAGCCUUGCAUGUGUGAGGCAUUAGGUUUGAUCCUCAACACCA
This 69-nucleotide transfer RNA is filed under the name Marmota monax (woodchuck). It matches the Rfam family "tRNA". From Rfam's summary of the family: Transfer RNA (tRNA) molecules are approximately 80 nucleotides in length. Their secondary structure includes four short double-helical elements and three loops (D, anti-codon, and T loops). Further hydrogen bonds mediate the characteristic L-shaped molecular structure. tRNAs have two regions of fundamental functional importance: the anti-codon, which is responsible for specific mRNA codon recognition, and the 3' end, to which the tRNAs corresponding amino acid is attached (by aminoacyl-tRNA synthetases). tRNAs cope with the degeneracy of the genetic code in two manners: having more than one tRNA (with a specific anti-codon) for a particular amino acid; and 'wobble' base-pairing, i.e. permitting non-standard base-pairing at the 3rd anti-codon position. The record is from Rfam by way of RNAcentral. Lineage: Eukaryota; Metazoa; Chordata; Mammalia; Rodentia; Sciuridae.